RNAcentral lists this small RNA (75 nucleotides) under Xanthomonas campestris. RNAcentral's name for it is "sX9 sRNA". It matches the Rfam family "Xanthomonas sRNA sX9". Lineage: Bacteria; Pseudomonadati; Pseudomonadota; Gammaproteobacteria; Lysobacterales; Lysobacteraceae. The record is from RNAcentral.
AUGUACCCACGUACACUCCGGUUCCUCCGCGCCGUCCGCACCUACCUGACGACUGCUCGCUACGUUUUGUUAGCC